RNAcentral lists this ribosomal RNA (460 nucleotides) under uncultured bacterium. RNAcentral describes it as "partial 16S ribosomal RNA". It matches the Rfam family "Bacterial small subunit ribosomal RNA", at positions 338 to 795 of the family's 1533-position model. The record is from RNAcentral.
CCUACGGGUGGCUGCAGUGAGGAAUAUUGGUCAAUGGACGCGAGUCUGAACCAGCCAAGUCGCGUGAAGGAUGACUGCCCUAUGGGUUGUAAACUUCUUUUAUACAGGAAUAAAACGCGGCACGUGUGCCUUUUUGCAUGUACCUUAUGAAUAAGGAUCGGCUAACUCCGUGCCAGCAGCCGCGGUAAUACGGAGGAUCCAAGCGUUAUCCGGAUUUAUUGGGUUUAAAGGGAGCGUAGAUGAGUUGUUAAGUCAGUGGUGAAAGUUUGCGGCUCAACCGUAGAAUUGCCAUUGAUACUGGCAGUCUAGAGUACAGUUGAGGUAGGCGGAAUGCGUGGUGUAGCGGUGAAAUGCUUAGAUAUCACGCAGAACCCCGAUUGCGAAGGCAGCUUACUAAACUGUGACUGACAUUGAUGCUCGAAAGUGUGGGGAUCAAACAGGAUUAGAUACCCUUGUAGUC